RNAcentral lists this non-coding RNA (28 nucleotides) under Homo sapiens (human). Lineage: Eukaryota; Metazoa; Chordata; Mammalia; Primates; Hominidae. The record is from RNAcentral.
UAAAGAGGACAACUUAUGAUGGCUAGUG